RNAcentral lists this ribosomal RNA (733 nucleotides) under uncultured bacterium. Its description in RNAcentral is "bacterial SSU rRNA". It matches the Rfam family "Bacterial small subunit ribosomal RNA", at positions 28 to 776 of the family's 1533-position model. The record is from RNAcentral.
GAUGAACGCUGGCGGCGUGCUUAACACAUGCAAGUCGAGCGAUGAAGUUUCCUUCGGGAAACGGAUUAGCGGCGGACGGGUGAGUAACACGUGGGUAACCUGCCUCAUAGAGUGGAAUAGCCUUCCGAAAGGAAGAUUAAUACCGCAUAAUGUUGAAAGAUGGCAUCAUCAUUCAACCAAAGGAGCAAUCCGCUAUGAGAUGGACCCGCGGCGCAUUAGCUAGUUGGUGGGGUAACGGCCUACCAAGGCGACGAUGCGUAGCCGACCUGAGAGGGUGAUCGGCCACAUUGGGACUGAGACACGGCCCAGACUCCUACGGGAGGCAGCAGUGGGGAAUAUUGCACAAUGGGGGAAACCCUGAUGCAGCAACGCCGCGUGAGUGAUGAAGGUUUUCGGAUCGUAAAGCUCUGUCUUUGGGGAAGAUAAUGACGGUACCCAAGGAGGAAGCCACGGCUAACUACGUGCCAGCAGCCGCGGUAAUACGUAGGUGGCGAGCGUUAUCCGGAUUUACUGGGCGUAAAGGGAGCGUAGGCGGAUGAUUAAGUGGGAUGUGAAAUACCCGGGCUCAACUUGGGUGCUGCAUUCCAAACUGGUUAUCUAGAGUGCAGGAGAGGAGAGUGGAAUUCCUAGUGUAGCGGUGAAAUGCGUAGAGAUUAGGAAGAACACCAGUGGCGAAGGCGACUCUCUGGACUGUAACUGACGCUGAGGCUCGAAAGCGUGNGGAGCAAACAGG